UGCUAAUUAAGUGUCUAUAGCACAUUGACUUUUCGCGCCAAAAGAGUACGUACGUACACUUAGCUAC
This 67-nucleotide transfer RNA is filed under the name Beringiana fukuharai. RNAcentral describes it as "tRNA-Glu". Lineage: Eukaryota; Metazoa; Mollusca; Bivalvia; Unionida; Unionidae. The record is from RNAcentral.